UACGUAGGGUCCAAGCGUUAUUCGGAAUUACUGGGCGUAAAGCGUACGUAGGCGGUUUGGUAAGUUGGAUGUGAAAUCCUGUGGCUCAACCACAUGGACUGUGUCCAAAACUACCUAACUAGAGCAUAGUAGAGGCAAGUGGAAUUUGCGGUGUAGGAGUGACAUCCGUAGAUAUCGCAAGGAACACCAAUGGCGAAGGCAGCUUGCUGGGCUAUUGCUGACGCUCAGGUACGAAAGCGUGGGGAGCGAACGGG
This 254-nucleotide ribosomal RNA is filed under the name uncultured bacterium. Its description in RNAcentral is "partial 16S ribosomal RNA". It matches the Rfam family "Bacterial small subunit ribosomal RNA", at positions 524 to 776 of the family's 1533-position model. The record is from RNAcentral.